GCCGGGAGUAGUGGCGCGCGCCUGUAGUCUCAGCUCCUCGGGAGGCUGGGGUGGGAAGAUCGCUUGAGCCCAGGAGUUCGAGGAUGCAGUGAGCUAUGAUCGCACCACUGCACUCUAGCCUGGGCGACAGAGCGAGACCCUGUUUCUU
Non-coding RNA from Homo sapiens (human), 148 nucleotides. It matches the Rfam family "Metazoan signal recognition particle RNA". Rfam says of the family: The signal recognition particle (SRP) is a universally conserved ribonucleoprotein. It is involved in the co-translational targeting of proteins to membranes. NCBI's taxonomy places the organism in Eukaryota, Metazoa, Chordata, Mammalia, Primates, Hominidae. The record is from Rfam.